Molecule: ribosomal RNA, 288 nt
Filed under: uncultured Thalassospira sp.
Lineage: Bacteria; Pseudomonadati; Pseudomonadota; Alphaproteobacteria; Rhodospirillales; Thalassospiraceae
Description: partial 16S ribosomal RNA
Rfam family: Bacterial small subunit ribosomal RNA
Source: RNAcentral
AACGAACGCUGGCGGCAGGCCUAACACAUGCAAGUCGAGGGAGAAACCAUUUUCGGAUGGCGGAGACCGGCAGACGGGUGAGUAACACGUGGGAAUAUACCUAGUAGUGGGGGAUAACAGUUGGAAACGACUGCUAAUACCGCAUACGCCCUUCGGGGGAAAGAUCUAUCGCUAUUAGAUUAGCCCGCGUUAGAUUAGCUAGUUGGUAAGGUAAGAGCUUACCAAGGCGACGAUCUAUAGCUGGUUUGAGAGGAUGAUCAGCCACACUGGGACUGAGACACGGCCCAG